Molecule: long non-coding RNA, 1558 nt
Organism: Parus major (Great Tit)
Lineage: Eukaryota; Metazoa; Chordata; Aves; Passeriformes; Paridae
Exons: 2
Source: RefSeq, a predicted model, not a curated record
CUCUUCCCCCUUUUUGCUGAUUCACAGGCAGAAAAGCAGAAUAAAUCUUGUUUCUGUCAUUCUUCACCUUCUCAAAUCACGAGGACCAACAGCAGCACGGGAGCUUUCAGGAAGAGAAGAAAGUCACCGAGCACAACGUCAGCACAACGCUCCUUGCUCUGCUGCAAUGAGAAAUCCUGCAUUUCCAAUUUGGGCAGCACAGGAGACAGGAGAUAACCAAUUCCUACCUGCAGGAACUUGGUGCCAAAUUCAGAAAAGCCUUUAAGAUAAACCAAGCAGCACACAGCAAAGCCUUGUUAUCUCAACAGCCUCAUUAAUCAAAUAUAACAUGUCUGCUUUGCACCACAUGGCCAAGACUCAUCUGUCUGGUGAAUAUUUGAUAUCCAGUCACAGGAAAACCCUUGAAGAGUGAGCCAGCACUGGGUUAGAAGCCUUGAAACCAGAAGAAAUGCACUGAUGCAAAAAGCCUCUUCUCAGAAAUCAAGCUACAAAUACCAAAAGUAUCAGAAUUUCCUAUUAAAAAACAUAUCUUGCUUUCACAAACAUGGGAAGUUUCAGACAUUUGACCUCUGUUUCUUCCCAAGUAACCUCACUGACUAAAAAAGAAGAGGCUGGUGUUCCUGCUGCAGGUUCAAUACCUGCAGAGGUGAAGGAAAGGCUCCUGGAGCUGUGAAUGUCCCAGAACACCCUGGCCUGAGCACGGGGACAGUUUGCUCCCAGCUCCGAACCCAGGAACUCCAAAGGGAUGAAUCCACACAGAGAGGAGUGCACAGCAAACUGGGAAGGAAAUUCAGGCUGUGGAAAGGACAUGCUUGUCACUGCCUGAGCCUCUCUCCCUCCUAGGCAGGCUGGUGAGGUGUGCCAGGCAGCAGGAGCUCUCAUCCUCUCCCACGCCAGGCUGGCAGCUGCCAUGGACCUGAACCCCUCUGGGGAUCACCCCACCUUCUCCAGCUCUGCCUGCUUCAAACCUUCAGGAAUCCCAGGGCACCCCAGCCAGCAGCGGUGAUUCACCUGAGAGCCUGAGCUCCCUGCUGCCCCAGCAACCCAUCCCUGUGACAACACCUCCUGGGAAGGCGCUGGCCAGAGGGAGAGAUGCUUCUGGACACCACAGAAUGAGCAAGGAAUUCCAAGGGAAAAGCACUCAGCACGGAUUUCUGCCAAAAGAACUGAAUUCUGUCGCUUUUACAUCUCUGAAGUUCCACCAGUGCUGGGGGGGUAAAAUGGAUUUGAAAAAUCCCCCCCAAAAUGGCACCACAGAGCAGCCCCCAGUGGAGAGGGGCUCUUCAGUGAGCACUUAACAACAGGAAUAUUAAAAGUAACCCCCCAAACUCUAUGUUGAUCAGAAGAAGGAACCAGCACAACCUUCCACUGAGCUGUGGGGACAGAAAAGCCCUCGAGGGACACAACCACAUCAUGAAAAAUCUGCUCUGUUUGGUCUGGCUGGCUUUGCCCGGGGGUCAGGGCAGCACAGCAGUGCAGGCAGCUUGCUGAACACACUCCCCAGUUUAUCUUGAUUAUGUUUGUGGUGUCACAAACAUCAAGGGCUGCAAAAAUAUCA